GACCACGAAGCCACGCCGGCGAACCGGUA
This 29-nucleotide small RNA is filed under the name Bombyx mori (domestic silkworm). RNAcentral describes it as "ovarian small RNA-15432". Lineage: Eukaryota; Metazoa; Arthropoda; Insecta; Lepidoptera; Bombycidae. The record is from RNAcentral.